This is a non-coding RNA of Danionella cerebrum, 73 nucleotides long. The record is from the annotation of a GenBank genome assembly. NCBI's taxonomy places the organism in Eukaryota, Metazoa, Chordata, Actinopteri, Cypriniformes, Danionidae.
GCCAUGGUGGCGCAGUGGGUAGCACAAUGGCCUUCCAUUAAAAAGGUUGCCAGUUCGAAGCUUGUCAGUGACA